Molecule: ribosomal RNA, 975 nt
Filed under: uncultured Klebsiella sp.
Lineage: Bacteria; Pseudomonadati; Pseudomonadota; Gammaproteobacteria; Enterobacterales; Enterobacteriaceae
Description: bacterial SSU rRNA
Rfam family: Bacterial small subunit ribosomal RNA
Source: RNAcentral
UGCAAGCGUUAAUCGGAAUUACUGGGCGUAAAGCGCACGCAGGCGGUCUGUCAAGUCGGAUGUGAAAUCCCCGGGCUCAACCUGGGAACUGCAUUCGAAACUGGCAGGCUAGAGUCUUGUAGAGGGGGGUAGAAUUCCAGGUGUAGCGGUGAAAUGCGUAGAGAUCUGGAGGAAUACCGGUGGCGAAGGCGGCCCCCUGGACAAAGACUGACGCUCAGGUGCGAAAGCGUGGGGAGCAAACAGGAUUAGAUACCCUGGUAGUCCACGCCGUAAACGAUGUCGAUUUGGAGGUUGUGCCCUUGAGGCGUGGCUUCCGGAGCUAACGCGUUAAAUCGACCGCCUGGGGAGUACGGCCGCAAGGUUAAAACUCAAAUGAAUUGACGGGGGCCCGCACAAGCGGUGGAGCAUGUGGUUUAAUUCGAUGCAACGCGAAGAACCUUACCUGGUCUUGACAUCCACAGAACUUUCCAGAGAUGGAUUGGUGCCUUCGGGAACUGUGAGACAGGUGCUGCAUGGCUGUCGUCAGCUCGUGUUGUGAAAUGUUGGGUAAAGUCCCGCAAACGAGCGCAACCCUUAUCCUUUGUUGCCAGCGGUUAGGCCGGGAACUCAAAGGAGACUGCCAGAGAUAAACUGGAGGAAGGUGGGGAUGACGUCAAGUCAUCAUGGCCCUUACGACCAGGGCUACACACGUGCUACAAUGGCAUAUACAAAGAGAAGCGACCUCGCGAGAGCAAGCGGACCUCAUAAAGUAUGUCGUAGUCCGGAUUGGAGUCUGCAACCCGACUCCAUGAAGUCGGAAUCGCUAGUAAUCGUAGAUCAGAAUGCUACGGUGAAUACGUUCCCGGGCCUUGUACACACCGCCCGUCACACCAUGGGAGUGGGUUGCAAAAGAAGUAGGUAGCUUAACCUUCGGGAGGGCGCUUACCACUUUGUGAUUCAUGACUGGGGUGAAGUAGUAACAAGGUAACCAAUCGA